CACACACCCCACACGGCCCUAAAAGUGCGUGUGCAAAAUUUCAUCAAAUAUUUAACGAAAUCUUCGAGGGCAGCUCGAAGCAAUUACUGAAUGUGACCAAGUCAACGAGACGAUCCACACAGACCCGCAUCCAGAAAACUUGAAGCUACUACUCCAACACCACAUCUGCCUGAAUGCUAUCAUGCUUCCUGCCAUGAUGACAAUGGACUAAACUUGUGAGCCUUAUACAGAUCUGCUCUGAGUUAGCUUCUACCAUAUACAGCACUAUAAGAGAUGACUGAGUACCAAGACUAAAGCCUCCCGGGUACUGCCUUGAAUUCCUGCCCUGACCUUGUUGGAUGAUGUACUGCCAGCUGUGAGAUGAAAUAAACCGUUUUCUCCUCAGCUGCCUUUUGGUCAUGGUGUUUAUUACAGCAGUAGAAACCCUAAGACCAACACCAGAGCAGUGGUUCCAACAAGCCAGGACAACCAGAAAAGUAUGGUUCCUGGUUCCUUGUCAUCUCUCUGCCUUAUCCAGAUGCUGUAUGUGAGGACAUGACUGAAACUGACACCUGCAUAACUCUUGGUUGGGCCAAGUGAACCAAUGGCUCAUUCGCCUUCCUGUGCUUCACCCAGGUCUCUGCUGUAAACCCUACAAAGUCCCCGCCUGACUACUACAGAGAAGGAAGUCUCCCUUCUCUCCUAUGCUCCCACCUGUGAAUCCACAACAAACUGUUUCUAAAAUUCACUCUGUGUUCCAGGAACAUCAUUCCUCUAAUUCCCUAGACAAGUACGCAGAGGC
This 781-nucleotide long non-coding RNA is filed under the name Cricetulus griseus (Chinese hamster). Its description in RNAcentral is "lncRNA (ENSCGRG00015032329.1)". Lineage: Eukaryota; Metazoa; Chordata; Mammalia; Rodentia; Cricetidae. The record is from RNAcentral.